AUUGAACGCUGGCGGCAGGCCUAACACAUGCAAGUCGAGCGGUUGAGGGGAGCUUGCUCCUGGAUUCAGCGUCGGACGGGUGAGUAAUGCCUAGGAAUCUGCCUGGUAGUGGGGGAUAACGUCCCGAAACGGGCGCUAAUACCGCAUACGUCCUGCGGGAGAAAGUGGGGGAUCUUCGGACCUCACGCUAUCAGAUGAGCCUAGGUCGGAUUAGCUAGUUGGUGGGGUAAAGGCCUAACAAGGCGACGAUCCGUAACUGGUCUGAGAGGAUGAUCAGUCACACGGGAACUGAGACACGGUACAGACUCCUAAGGGAGGCAGCAGUGGGGAAUAUUGGAAAAUGGGAGAAAGCCUGAUACAGCCAUGCCGCGUGUGUGAAGAAGGUCUUCGGAUUGUAAAGCAGUUUAAGUUGGGAGGAAGGGCAGUAAGUUAAUACCUUGCUGUUUUGACGUUACCAACAGAAUAAGCACCGGCUAACUUCGUG
RNAcentral lists this ribosomal RNA (484 nucleotides) under uncultured bacterium. RNAcentral's name for it is "partial 16S ribosomal RNA". It matches the Rfam family "Bacterial small subunit ribosomal RNA", at positions 30 to 507 of the family's 1533-position model. The record is from RNAcentral.